GAGACUCUGUGCGCGUGCAUAUCAAUAAGCGGAGGAAAAGAAACUAGCAAGGAUUCCCUUAGUAACGGCGAGUGAAGCGGGAAGAGCUCAAAUUUGAAAUCUUCAAGGUUUUACCUUGGCGAAUUGUAGUUUAAAGAAGUGUUUUCUGUUGAAGUUUUGGUAAAAGUUCUUUGGAAUAGGACAUCAUAGAGGGUGAGAAUCCCGUAUUUGACCAUUAUUUUCAGCUGUGUGAUACACUUUCAAAGAGUCGGAUUGUUUGGGAAUGCAGUCCAAAAUGGGUGGUAAAUUUCAUCUAAAGCUAAAUAUUGGCGAGAGACCGAUAGCGUACAAGUACCGUGAGGGAAAGAUGAAAAGAACUUUGAAAAGAGAGUUAAACAGUACGUGAAAUUGUCAAAAGGGAAGCGUUUGACACCAGUGUUGUUUUCUCGAAAAUCAAUUAAAAAGAGUUGGAUUUUGUGUUGUAUUGACCUUAACAGCUUUCUUCACUCUUUUCCUGCUUUUUUUAAUGCACUUUUCGUUUAACAAGUCAACAUCAGUUUCUUUUGUUGUAAAAGGGUCAUUGGAAGGUGGCUUUCUUUUCGGAGAAAGUGUUUAUAGCCUUUGAUCUCUGCAAUCGGAGAGACUGAGGUCUGCAGCGUAGAUCCUUCGGGGUUAGAUACAUUUGUGCUAAGUUAUAACUUUUCAUAGACAACUUGUUGACUAUGUUUAGUCAUGUAGCUUACUCGCUUAUGCUAUUUUACCUACGCUUAGGAUGUUGAAUCUGUGCGAGACUAC
RNAcentral lists this ribosomal RNA (774 nucleotides) under uncultured Neocallimastigales. RNAcentral's name for it is "partial large subunit ribosomal RNA". It matches the Rfam family "Eukaryotic large subunit ribosomal RNA", at positions 23 to 644 of the family's 3401-position model. Lineage: Eukaryota; Fungi; Neocallimastigomycota; Neocallimastigomycetes; Neocallimastigales. The record is from RNAcentral.